AAGAAAAAUAUAAAAAAGUUAAUCUUCUUCUUUUUAUGAUACGAUGACAUUCCUCCAUUUCCCCCCCCCCCCUAUUUUAUCUCGAAGCUCAUGAGGCAUAGUACACUGCAGCGUGUAUUCAAGUAGACAGAGUGACACUUGUUUUGUAUAAAGAGGAUGUACAAUCUCCACAGUACCAAGAGUGCAGUAAGUUACAAGUCAUAACAUCAUCCGUUGUUCUAGCUGCACUGUGUUUGCUGUUGGCGGUCACGCACAAUUUUGUAGGAGUUUAAAGUAAUAAAUGUCGAACGCCUAUCGUGUGUGCCUUCUUGGCCUUCCACAACACGUUGAAAUCACAUGUGCUUCUUUGAGUAACACCACAUCGCUGAUGUCAUUAACAAACUUCGCGAAAGUAGUAUUUUCUGGUUCUGGUAGUAAGCCGGUCUCGGAAAUAUAGGCAACGCUGGAGAGACGUACUGGGAUAUUUGAAAAUUUUCCCACUCCAGUCCGGGAUCUUGGCCAUAUGUUGAUUGGUAACUACGUUGCGUAACUAUUCCACAUCAUGCAUCGAGCAACUCGGAAAGUUGACCAGACCCUAGUUUAAAACAUGAAUCGAAAAUUAAACACAGAAUGCAGAGCAAAAGACAAGAAGAUAAACCAGAGCAGAGAAUGCCUACUAUGGCCAAUGGUAUAAGUACCAAAACCCGUAAUAGGAAGGAAGUUUUUCGAGAGACCGAACCCGGAAAGAAGAUCAAAGCAGGAAGUCCAAUUUUAUCCAAACUCGUAGACAAGCACAGGGCAUCAAACAAAGACAACGAACGAGGUUAGCCAGAAAUUAAAAGAAGAGCAGCAUAAGCUGCGAAAACUGUCUAAGAUCAGAGUUGGGAGUAGCUCACUGAUUUGAGAGCGCGCUCAGAGCUUUCCGCUCAGUGCUGAAAAGUGAGCGUAGCUCAGCUCUCGCUCGCAAAAAAAAAAAGUGAGCGCGCUCUCGCUCGCGCUCGCGCUCUUCGCUCACGUACAAAAAAUUCCAUAUGAAAUCUGUAUAUUUCCGUCUUCAUUUUGGCAUUACAACUGCAUUACAACUUACUUAGAAGAUGAAUCCUACGGGUUCUUACUGGAAUUCCCGGUUUUUUUCAAAAAAACUAAUUUGUCAAAAGUGCUGUCCUUUAACUGAC
Long non-coding RNA from Daphnia magna, 1154 nucleotides. RefSeq lists it as uncharacterized. The transcript is spliced from 3 exons. NCBI's taxonomy places the organism in Eukaryota, Metazoa, Arthropoda, Branchiopoda, Diplostraca, Daphniidae. The record is from RefSeq and is a predicted model, not a curated record.